GGAAGGGGAGCUUGUGGACAGGCUGAGAGGAAAUUCUAAAUUUCGACCCUGUAACCUGAUAUGGAUAAUGCCAUCGUAGGGAUUCUGUAUAU
Molecule: non-coding RNA, 92 nt
Filed under: bovine gut metagenome
Description: TPP riboswitch (THI element)
Rfam family: TPP riboswitch aptamer (THI element)
About the family: Vitamin B(1) in its active form thiamin pyrophosphate (TPP) is an essential coenzyme that is synthesised by coupling of pyrimidine and thiazole moieties in bacteria. The previously detected thiamin-regulatory element, thi box was extended, resulting in a new, highly conserved RNA secondary structure, the THI element, which is widely distributed in eubacteria and also occurs in some archaea.
Source: RNAcentral